UACGUAGGGUGCGAGCGUUGUCCGGAAUUAUUGGGCGUAAAGAGCUCGUAGGUGGUUUGUCGCGUUGUCCGUGAAAACUCACAACUCAAUUGUGGGCGUGCGGGCGAUACGGGCAGACUGGAGUACUGCAGGGGGAGACUGGAAUUCCUGGUGUAGCGGUGGAAUGCGCAGAUAUCUGGAGGAACACCGGUGGCGAAGGCGGCAUCCUGGACCGGUAUUGACGCUGAUGCGCGAAAGCCAGGGGAGCAAAGCGGGG
This 256-nucleotide ribosomal RNA is filed under the name uncultured bacterium. RNAcentral's name for it is "partial 16S ribosomal RNA". It matches the Rfam family "Bacterial small subunit ribosomal RNA", at positions 524 to 778 of the family's 1533-position model. The record is from RNAcentral.